RNAcentral lists this ribosomal RNA (417 nucleotides) under uncultured eukaryote. RNAcentral's name for it is "eukaryotic LSU rRNA". It matches the Rfam family "Eukaryotic large subunit ribosomal RNA", at positions 18 to 414 of the family's 3401-position model. The record is from RNAcentral.
AGAUUACCCGCCGAAUUUAAGCAUAUUAAUAAGCGGAGGAAAAGAAACUAACCAGGAUUCCCCUAGUAACGGCGAGUGAAGCGGGAAGAGCCCAAACUUUCAAAUCCGGUGGCACACAAGUCGGCCACCCGAAUUGUAGUUUCAGGAGGCACCAUCGCGGGCGUCGGGCCCCGGUCCAAGUCCUUUGGAACGAGGCGUCGAAGAGGGUGAGAAUCCCGUACCCCGACCGUCCGGGUCCGGCGUCGACACGCGUUGGGGUCUCUCCGAGUCGGGUUGUUUGGGAAUGCAGCCCCAAUUGGGUGGUAAAUUUCAUCCAAGGCUAAACAAAUGCGAGAGACCGAUAGCAAACAAGUACCGUGAGGGAAAGGUGAAAAGAACUUUGAAAAGAGAGUCAAAAGUGCUUGAAAUUGUCGGGAG